UCUGUCUCUCGUCGCCCCGGCCUCCGACGGGAGGUACUCUACAGCCCGAGGGGCCACCUCGCAACCUGCAGUUCGAGGAGGCGACCUGGCAUACGCUGCGAGGAGCCGCCCCACUGCCCCUCUUCGACCACCUGCGACGUCUCCCCUACCCCCUCUGUCCUACCGUGUUUCCAAAUCUGCCUACAGUAGGUAGCCUUCAUCAUUGAUUCUUUUUAAUAUUUUUCGUCCAAAACUGUGAUUUCACAUUAGAUCUAUCUAGUUCGAACAAGUUUAUGCCGGCUUGUUUGUGUUUGGGUAAUUGUAGGGUGGUUUAGGAACAUCUUAGGCUUGUACGGACAGGAAGGGAGCGCAUGCAGCAUGGUUCAUAGCAGAGUUUUGACCAGUUCGUCAGUGUACAAAGCAACGACCUGGACCAGUUGUCUAAUCGACGGUUUCAUAUGUGAAUUCUGAUUUAUAUAAAAUUUUGUGAGUUGUCUCCAUUAUUGUCUGUAAAAUCAUGUUCUAAUAUGUGUCGUUUGCAGGACAAAAGCUGACGGAAAUAUGAUAAGAAAGUGAGGUCCUUGUGUAUGAUAAUGGCUUGCCAAUGUUGCAAAAAAUAAGAUCUCAGGUGAGAGCUCUUAUGGAACUGAAAAAGAAUACUGGAAUAGGAGGAAAUAUAAGGGCCACUGGCUAAGUAAGUGGGUCAUCACAGCCACCCAAGAAAAAGAAAACGAUUGUGUGCUUGCAGUUGUAUACAUUCAAUACUUCCUCAUGAUAUAUACCAUCUGUUUCACACAUAUUUAUGUUUUCUUCCAGUCAAAGAACGGCAUGAGUGAAGCUAAUGAAGGACGUAACUCAUAGGAGUUUUGCUUGUGUCAGUAAUUGAAUGGUAAAUUUUUACAGAAUGCUAAUUCUCAGAUGUUUAUGUCUCUUCCUUUUUACUUAUUUAGAACACCUUGUAUAUAGCAGUCUUAGCUCUGUACAAGCUACUAAACGAUAUAGAAAGUUGGAGUUCAAAUUUAUAAAAUCUGACCCUGGGAACCACAUUAGUACAACAUAUCUAUUCAAGCUUGAGGUUGUUUUAUUGGAACUGACCAUGAGACUGUUGAAGUUACUCUUGUGGACUGGCAAUGAGAAGAUAGUAGCAACUGCUUGGACAUGCCAAAUUCCUAAAAUUUUAACUCUAAUGUACAGAAACAUUUUACUGAUUUUUACACUGGAAAUUUGAGUGUUUGUUUACCGAAUAUUAUAUGUUGUGUUUUUUUAACUUACACUCUGUUCCUGCAGCACAUGAAAGUCACUCUUAAAGAUGGUACAUGCAUCCUAGAAAAUAACUGUCUUGUUAGUCUUGGCAAAAUAUUGGUAUACUUACAGUACCAGUGCUGACAUCUAAAUUUAGUUGGCGAUGUGGAAAUGUGUUAGAUAAUUUAUUGUCAGGUUUUCUUAUCAAUCCUUGCAUUUUAUAUGUGUAUAGCAGCACCCCCAUUAUCAUGCAAAAUAGUAUCAUGUUCAGACUUGAUCAUGGCAGCUAGGAGAAAUGUAUGAUUUAGUACGCAAGAAAAUUCCUGUGAGAAAUUACUCCAAAGAAAAUGCUAGCUGCUAGCAUAUAUCUAUUUUGAUCACUAACUGAAAAAUCUGCAUAUCUCUGAAAAUGAAGUAAUCACCUUUCCUAACACUUAGAACUUGUGUGGGAUAUAUGACCAUAAAGUGCGGUUCCUAGUAGAUAUAAACUAAAUCUUGCUAUCUUUUAAAGAUCAGGCACAAAAUAAAUACUUGACCAUUAUUUUUCCGGGAAGCAUAUUUUAGUUCAGUGCCACAAAUCAGGAUUACACCCAGCUCUAUUUUAGAGAAACAUAGAUGUUGCAGCCUGUUGCAGCAUAUGUUUAGUUUCAGGAUUUUAACCAUAGUACAACAUAUGCAAAUCUCUACCGUAUACCACAUAAUGUUUCAUCGCAUGCAUGAACCGCAACACAAUCAAUGCCCUGUAAAUUGAAAUUUUUUACGAUUAAAUGAGUUCUUUAGGAUUAAAUGGAUUGUUUUCAUCUAAGUGCACCUCCUGAUACUACAUAUAUGAUUGCUGGUACAUGUAUAUAUUUAAUAGUGUGUAUAUGAUUGUUUGCUGAUUGAGUAACCUGGAAUGCAAAUAUCUAAAAUUACAGCAUUUACUCCUAAUGUUUGGUGCCAGAUUUUAGCUAUAGCAGACCGUAACAUAUACUGUUAAAUAACUCAUAGUAGACAUCUGGUAAUAUAUGUAUUACCCGAUCUAGCUCCUAGAUGCCUAGCUAGAGUGCAUCUGUUAUCGAGCAAAACGAGAGGCAUGUGCAAGUGCACUUCAUACAUAUAUGACUGCUAGUACAUGUAUAUUUACAAGUGCAUAUCUGAUUAUUUGCUGGUUGAGGAACUUCAUAUGCCAAUAUCUAAAAUUACAAUAAAAUUAUUCCUGAUGCCUUAGAAGAGAUUUGAUUGCUUUAUCAAUGAGCGCAUACAUUUUUAUAUUAAGUCAUAUGAUAUGUUAGGUGCUAGCCUGACUUCGGCCGAUGUUCGUGCUGAUAAGGUUAUCUUUUGUAACCUGUUUUGCGGCACAUCUACUUUUUAGAUCUUUGGGACCAUGGCCACUCACAAUUCUUAUUUUCUAAGAUUGCUCAAGAGUUCUUUUGCAGGGCAAAUGGAAGAAAGUAGCAAGUCCACAAGUUGAUCUAAGAUGUUCCGGUGACUGCUUUUGUUCAUAACAUGGUUGACACAUUUUGUUUAUAUGGAAGUUAAUGUCAGCUUGGGGAUCGAAGACUUGGUCUCUUCCAUAAUUUUUUUGUGGUAGUGAUCAAACAUUUGGUCUCUUAGGAACUUGGCCAUCAUAUUUUGUAAGAGGCCAUGACCUGAAUGUUGACUUAUGUAUUUCCUUAAUGGAUGUAGCUAACUUGAGUGAAGAAAACUAACAAAUCUUAUAUAUGUUGAAUAAAUGCAUUGAUCAAUGGUAUCUUGUGAAGAAUAGAAGAGUGCAAAUGUUUGUAUAUGUAUUGGGUACUGAACAUGAAAUGAAUGCAUUGAUUAAUGAUAUCUUGUAAUGGAUAGAAGAGUGCAAAUGAUAUGUAUUGGGUAUUGAACAUGAAAUGAUUAUUAUGAAUUGCUUUUGUGUAAUGUAUGGUACAUCUGCAAUUAUACUGAAAUAUAGGCCCUGACAGCAAGUAUGUCGGCAUAAGUAUUGGAUGAUGCAUAAUGUGUCGGCGUAGCACAUCGUCACAUGAACUAUCGGCAUAUUAAUGGGUGUCGCACCAUCUGUCGCCAUAUCACACUAUCAGACGAACUGUCGGUAUAUAAAUGUCUGUCGGUGUAAAGAU
Molecule: long non-coding RNA, 3314 nt
Filed under: Triticum aestivum (bread wheat)
Lineage: Eukaryota; Viridiplantae; Streptophyta; Magnoliopsida; Poales; Poaceae
Description: long non-coding RNA (TAES_LNC001198)
Source: RNAcentral